AAAGACGGUCGUGCAAUCGCUUUAUGUUGAAAGUCAUAAAGAGGAAAGUCCGAACUUUGACUGUUAAUUGUGUGAAGUUGUUUGUACAAUAAACAGUAAACGGUAGCAGGUAAUUCCUGUCAUUCGUGAGAAUAGAGGUGCGAUCAGAGACGCUUUUUCCGGAAACGGAAAAGUACCCUUCUUUUUAAGAAGGGUAAGUUUUGUAGUAAUACAGAAUAUGAAACGGCUAAAUCCUUACCGAAAAGCAAGGUUGAAAUAUAAACCGCUAGAUUGUUAAGAGUAAUUUUAACAACAGAGAAAUGAUUGCACUUUUAUAAUUUAAAAGACAGAAUUCGGUGUAUAGACCGUCUUUUUAU
Molecule: RNase P RNA, 356 nt
Filed under: Endomicrobium sp.
Lineage: Bacteria; Pseudomonadati; Elusimicrobiota; Endomicrobiia; Endomicrobiales; Endomicrobiaceae
Description: RNase P RNA component class A
Rfam family: Bacterial RNase P class A
About the family: Ribonuclease P (RNase P) is a ubiquitous endoribonuclease, found in archaea, bacteria and eukarya as well as chloroplasts and mitochondria.
Source: RNAcentral